AAAAAGCUCGUAGUUGGAUUUCUGUCGAAGACGGCCGGUCCGCUCUUUGGGCGUGUAUCUGGUUCGGCUUUGGCAUCCUCGUGGGGUACGUAACUGUGCUUGGUUGCAUGGUGCGGAAUUCACGACUUUUACUUUGAGGAAAUUAGAGUGUUCACGGCAGGCAUGAGCCUUGAAUACAUUAGCAUGGAAUAAUAAUAUAGGACUUUGGUUUUAUUUUGUUGGUUUCUAGAACUAAAGUAAUGAUUAAUAGGGAUAAUUGGGGGCAUUUGUAUUAACGCGUCAGAGGUGGAAUUCUUGGAUUGCGUUACGACAAACUACUGCGAAAGCGUUUGCCUAGGAUGUUCUCUUUAAUCAAGAACGAAGGUUGGGGGAUCGAAGACGAUCAGAUACCGUCGUAGUCUCAACUAUAAACUAUGCCAGCUAGGGAUGAGUGGAUGUUUAAUACGACUCCAUUCGCACCUUAUGAGAAAUCAAAGCAUUUGGGUUCCGGGGGGAGUAUGGUCGCAAGGCUGAAACUUAAAGGAAUUGACGGGAGGGCACCACCAGGAGUGGAGCCUGUGGCUUAAUUUGACUCAACAC
This 579-nucleotide ribosomal RNA is filed under the name uncultured marine eukaryote. RNAcentral's name for it is "bacterial SSU rRNA". It matches the Rfam family "Eukaryotic small subunit ribosomal RNA", at positions 621 to 1206 of the family's 1831-position model. The record is from RNAcentral.